RNAcentral lists this ribosomal RNA (253 nucleotides) under uncultured bacterium. Its description in RNAcentral is "partial 16S ribosomal RNA". It matches the Rfam family "Bacterial small subunit ribosomal RNA", at positions 524 to 776 of the family's 1533-position model. The record is from RNAcentral.
UACGUAGGGGGCAAGCGUUGUCCGGAUUUACUGGGCGUAAAGAGCGUGUAGGCUGCCAUGUAGGUCCGGUUUGAAAACUCGAGGCUUAACCUCGAGAUGUCAUCGGAAACCAUUUGGCUAGAGUCCGGAAGAGGAGAGUGGAAUUCCUGGUGUAGCGGUGAAAUGCGCAGAUAUCAGGAAGAACACCAAUGGCGAAAGCAGCUCUCUGGGACGGUACUGACGCUGAGACGCGAAAGCGUGGGGAGCGAACAGG